UAUGGUGAAGUGCGUGAUGUAUAAAUGGGGCGAAACAACUUGCUCACUUUUAAGGUCAGAGCGAGUCCUUAACAUAGCCAAGGGUUUGUAUUUCGGUAGUAGGUUUCGAGUGCUUACCACACUCGAGCACGGUUUUGUGCAAAUUUUGCGUAUUUGUGGCUACGCAUUUGGUCGGUAUGGGGUUCAUACCCAGCAGUUACCAUUUUUGAGGGGCUGUUUUAAAUUGGGUUCUUGCUUUUUUGGACAUAUCGACCGCGGUACCCCUUUUGGUUUGGUACCUUUUGUUUAUCGUGUUGACGAUCCAAUGAGCCAUUUUUGAAGGCAUUGGAACGGCACUCGGUGUCUCCGCCACCUUUUACAUGCCUGCUACCGCAAUGCAACUCAGCCAAAUGGUUGAAAUUUUUUCGAUUUAGUAUUUAUGGUUUUAGAGUUUAGGGGAGUUAUCCUUGGACGCACGACCCCUCGUCUUGUACCAGUCGUCGUGCCGCCAAGGACGACAAACCACUCACCUGCUAUAUACCUCGUUUUUGUUUAGGUAUACCAUUUUUUUGUUUUGGUUUUUGAUUCCGGAGAGUUGGGGGGACAGGUGUGCCUCACCAACUCAAAGGGCCGUUUUGGAUUUUUUGGGUUUAAUUUGAUGAUUGUUGUCUACCUGAAGGGUUGGGACAGGCCUUAGUGUCCUCAACCGGUAGGGUUACAAAAAAAGGUUUUCGUUGAAGGCUUAUAGUUAGGGGACUAUUAUGGGUCUCAUUUUCGCCCGGUCUAGCUGAGUUUUAUUUUAGGAAUGCUGAACAUCGGUCCUGGCGGUUGGUUUUUGGCUUUCUCAGCACAACAAGCUUUUGUCGCGUUGUACUGAGAAGGCCAACGGUUUGUUUACGGGUUGGAAGGAUAGACUGAGGUUUUUUUCUAUGUGCAGCGCAGUUGGCCGCAUAGUUUUUUUUUCACCUUCCGUGGUACUGACGUGGGUUCGAGAUUAUUAUUUAGAUUUUUUUUGUUCGGUCAGAACAGCAGUAUUUUUAAAUUGUUUAACGUUAGUAUGAUUUUACUUUUAGAUUAUUUUAGAGCAUUUUUGGUAUGUUUUGAAUCUCGAAGUUGCGUCAGACUUUUUGUUUAGAUUCUAGGUUUUCUAGAUCAGUUUGAAUAGGUUAGUUUUCUUGCCUUCACUUUGUUUUAAAUUUUGUUUUAGGAUGAAAGUCGCUGAGGACAGCGAGCGGUUCACCUACGUUGAACCUUAAAAUCGGGGAGGGGGGUAUUGUAACGUAGACAUUUUCUUAGAUUUUAAAUUAAUAUUUUUGGGUUGAAUUCCUUUUCUUAUUUCAACGAUUUUAACAAUAUCCCAAACUAACUCGAUUGAUUGCACUUCUUUGCAUAAUCUGUUGCAUUCAGAUGCACCUUUUGAUGCUUAUCUGUUGUCGGGGUUGUCAUAUGAGUAAAAAUAAUUAAAACUUGAGAUAUUUAUGUUGUCACUCCAGGAAAACUUUGUAUGAUUUAGGUAUGAUUUUUAUAGAUAGAAAAUAAGUUUGAUGUAAAACAAAACAUAUAAAUUACAGACUUACAAAGUGGCUCUGAAAUGAAACCUUAUUAGAUUUAAUGAUAAAAAUAUAUUUCUUAGGCUCAUGAGUGAAUUUGUCUAAAUAAUCAGUUCAGAAUUUUCGAAGAAUUUGUGUCUUCAGGGGAUUGGCACCCUACUUUUGUUUUUUUGCCUUUUGUUCUCAACAUAUGAGAAGGUCAUUCUGAGGUGACAUGCACUUUUGAUGUGUGGACCCCUCCGGGGACGCACGCUCGCAUGAGCCCUAUUUUGUGAUAAGACCACACAUUCCACAUGGUGGUCAAAAUGGUGGAAGCAGUUCGAGUCCUUCGGUGUGUUCCACUGAGUAAGUAUAAAUGGAAUUUAGUUGUGAUCAAUUCCACAAUGGCGCGAAACAUUGUGGGUUUGUUCUUAACCAAGUUUUGGUUCUUUACAGAGUUGACUCCUGCUCGAGGGAAGGGAGCGCUCCGCCAGAAGUCCUAACAGCUUCCAGUGCGGAGCCGGGAUGUUUCUAGAUGUUUCUAGAAGCUUUUGAUGUUUAUAGAAGUUUCAAGAUGUUUCGAAUUUGAAGUUUUAAAAUGAUGCUGUGGGAUCUGUCCCACGUCAUCUGCACUGGCCGGCUCCAACCAGGUUAGCAGUCAGCUUCCCGGGGAUAGGCGAGGUCACUCCCCGCCGCUCCAGGUCCGGUAGCAGUUUUUGAGGUCGGUCUGAUGCAUCUUUAAUUUUUAAAUUGCGUCUGCGCUCGGCUACAAAUUUAAAAUGUGAUUUAGAGCAAUAGUUAUUUUAAUUUAAAGUUUUGAAAGUUCUGGUGCAUAAAACUUAGGUAUUUCGAAAUUUAGUCUUUAGUAAUUAAUUAAUUGGUGUAAACCUUAUGACAUGAACCUGUGAAGCGACCCAGCUAUACCACUGAGCUUUUACACUAUAACUUUAGGUUAAUAAAGUUUGUUAGAUUUAAA
Long non-coding RNA from Cydia fagiglandana, 2484 nucleotides. RefSeq lists it as uncharacterized. The record is from RefSeq and is a predicted model, not a curated record. NCBI's taxonomy places the organism in Eukaryota, Metazoa, Arthropoda, Insecta, Lepidoptera, Tortricidae. The transcript is spliced from 2 exons.